Oncorhynchus kisutch (coho salmon) is the source of this 2388-nucleotide long non-coding RNA. RefSeq lists it as uncharacterized. The record is from RefSeq and is a predicted model, not a curated record. Lineage: Eukaryota; Metazoa; Chordata; Actinopteri; Salmoniformes; Salmonidae. The transcript is spliced from 2 exons.
UUGUGGGUGGGAAAAUCACGUCUGUUUAGCUGACAUUUUACUAGAAUGAGGCAGAUUUUAAAAAAUGUAUUAUGCGAAACGUAUUUAUGACAAUUCUCAGUAACAACUACAGUCCGCUAGUUUGAUCAGUGGUGAAUGGAUGCAAAAAUAAAAGCAAGUGUGCUGUUUCAAAUCUAUCAGUGUAGAUCAAGAGAUCAAAUCAAGAGGCUGACUAUAAAUCCCGAAUAUCUAUCUAAUCUCUGACCCAUCAUUGUCCAGUCCUAUAUAAAUUGAACAAUAUAAUAAUUCAUUAUUUUAGCCUUACAUCAUUCAUAGGGCUGCACUGCCCGCAAACUGUUUGUGAUUGCUAAUGCUCGAGGGCAUACGGCGUGGUGGAAAUCUGGUCGGGAGGUUUUAUACCCAUAUAACAACCAGAUUUAAUCCAAGAUACGUUUUUUUCAUGAUGUCAUGAAAAAUAUGUAUUCAUCUGAUCGACCUACUGACCAGUUAUCUAAAUGCUACUCAGUUAAUAAACAUGUGCAUAGUGUUUGUGGGCCAUGCACCCAUUGAAUAUAUGACACUGGAACCAUUACAAUUAUACAAAUUGGAGUAAUGUUCUUUUUCAGAAGGGUUUGCAUGAUUCGGUUUAGAACAGUUGGCAAAUAACAGCUGGCAGAGCGCACCAAAGCGGGUUAGGUUCUCAUGGACCCAGUCAAGAAGCUGGGCCUAUUCCGUUUGAGACUCGGACUCAGGGGGCUUCAUGCGGGCGGAUCUCUUCCCGAGUCCGGUAUAAUCAUAUUACCUUGGGCCAAGGCUAAUGGUACUCGGGCCGAGUCCUCUUCAGUUUGUCCGGUCCGAUUAACUUUUUCAGGAGUAGGGCCAUUUUACGUUUUAUCCGGCAGGUGAUGAAAUACCAGUUAAAAAAUGUUUUAUAUUUCACCUCCAAGGCAUCGAAUUUGCUAGGUCAUUAGCAAGCUAAAAUGUGUGACAGUCUCUGCGGCCCUAUAGCUAUCAGAGAUGGUUCCUAAUUUAGAGGAUCUAUGCUUUUUAAAUGUUUUUGAUUUUAGUACAGGCUAUGGUAAUGCUUUUCGUAGUUGCAGUCCACCGAAUUGAAAAGUGCACAUUCACUUCCAUAAUAUUUGUUCUAGGCUACCAGCAUGCAAGAUAAACAUGCACUAUAAUAUAGUAUAUGCCUACCUUUACAAAAAUGUACUGCCGUUAAAAUGCAGUAAAACUUCAGUACAAUGAAAUAAUGUUUUUAAAUGAAUAAUAUCUAGUAGCUUGCUGUGUGUCUUUUAAUGGUAACUGUUUGUUUAUUGUGCUGUGCAUUUUCUUCUGUUCCACUGAAUGCAAUUUAGAUUUGUUCAGAAUUUAACAAAAAAAAACACGUAGGCCUAUGUAUUUUAUUUCAAUAUCCUACUACAAUCCACCAGGAUUUACAAACCCCUAUAUUUAUUCCAUUUAUUUAAAUAGUCAAAUAGUCAAACAUUAUUGCACCUGAAUUUGACCCUGACAAUUAUAUUGUCUCUUAAAGCUUUUGAGCAAUUCAAAUUACUGCACGCAUUGUUAUUUUAAUGUCAGUAGCUAAAUGAGGAGAUAGGCAUAUCUGUUCCAACUAAAAUGUGGAUUGGAAUCGGUGCUAGCAGCAAUAUAUCUCCGUGCGCGGUGCAGGCAGCUUGAGCAAUCAAGCGCAUUGCUCAAGCAUCAUUGGGACAGAGCGCCUGGUAGGUUACACAACAACACAGCUGGAAAACAAUGACAACUUCGAAAUAUGCACAAAAAACUUUGAUAACAUUCUCCUGCAUUGUUGUUUUACUUUUGUAAGUAAGGCGGCGGUUUGUUGGGGAGAAGAACUUCAUGAGAAAUUUUGCUAGCUGGCUAAUUUUAGCUAGCUAACAUUAGCUCUCUAGCUAAUCAUCCAUGGACAUGAUCUGACCCAUCACACCACUAUUCAAGAAGGCCACUAUGCUCCAGAUCGCCUUCUCUGCGGUCCUCGAUGAGGAUCUACCCGAUUACACCACUCUUAUUAGGCAUUAAUAAAAAUCCCAAUGUGCAUUUAUAUACUCUGUCCAAGUCUUUCUAUGCAUGCAAUGUCUGUGGGUUAAUUAUGAAACAAUUACUGUCCAGAUGUGCAAAGAAUUGUGAUGUAGAUUGUUUUUUUGCCAUUGCUUGAUCUAUUUUAAAUGUAAGAAUAUGUUGCAGAUUGAAACUUUAAUUGGUGCCUAUGGAAACGAAUAGAAAUGUAACGAACAAGCUUUUCAAUAUCCAACUUUAUCCUUUGCAAUCCUUUUUACAGUAGGUAAUAAGCUGUAGUCAGGUGGUUAUUAUCAGGUUGUGAUGAGGUCUUAACUAUGACCUGUAGCCUACAUAAUAAACUCAGCAAAAAAAUAAACGUCUUCUCACUGUCAA